CUAUGUCCCUGCGGGUGGGUGCGAGGGCGAAGAGGAACCCGUGGGCCUCGGGGGAUCCCGGGGGACCGGACCGGUGUUCCCCAGUUGGUGGGAGCAGAAGGUUGGGCGCAUCGCGGGCGGGCGGGGCCUGACGUGCAACUAUGUUUCCAGUGUCCUCUGGGUGUUUUCAAGAGCAACAAGAAAUGAAUAAAUCUCUGGGGUUGGUGUCCUUUGAAGAGGUGACCAUGCACUUCACCUGGGAGGAGUAGCAGGACCUGGAUGAUGAUCAGAGGACCCUGUACAGGGACGUGAUGCUGGAGACCUACAAAAGCCUGGUAUCAUUACAGGAGUUGGUGUCCUUUGAGGAGGUAGCUGUGCACUUCAUCUGGGAGGAGUGGCAGGACCUGGAUGACACUCAGAGGACACUGUACAGGGAUGUGAUGCUGGAGACCUACAGCAGCUUGGUAUCAUUGGGACAUCACAUUACCAAACCUGAGAUGAUCUUCAAGCUAGAGCAAGGAGCAGAGCCAUGGAUAGUAGAAGCCCCAGACCUGAGACUUUCAGGCUAAGCCUCCCUCCUUUAGGUAGAGGCUCUUUUAUACCAUUUGGGAACUGGUUUGGAUAAGCUACCUUAAUGAAAGACCACACAUCCCUCCAGAGAUAAUAAAAGACUUUUUGUCUUUUCUGAUUUAAGAAAAUUUUAUCUCAUAAGCUACCUAUAGUUUACAAAAAUUCAGUAAAGUAUACUUUUUUGAACAAAGAUGGAAGCAUUCAUUUUGUCUCCCUACUUGAUUCCUCCAAAAUUUGGAAAGUAUUUGUGAGUAUUCUUUUAUUUUUACUUGAUAAAUAUCCAUUUCUCUUCAUAAACAGAAUACCAUUGAAAACAUUGGUUAUAUUAUUAAGGCUUUAACUGAAAUCUCAUAUUUAAGAAUGUGCAUAAAAUGCCUGGCUUCCAGUGCUUCCAGCCUGACAGUGAAUGAGUAAAAAUUGUCACUUCCUGGCAGGCCCAAGAACUUUAAGAUUGUAAGUAAAAUCUAAAACCUCCCUUGCUUUGGCCUUAAGAGGUUUUUUAAACCUGAACUUUCUGUAGAUUAAUGUAGAGAAAAAGUUCUGUUUCUAAAGAAAAACUAUAAUGCAUCUGUUAGUAGAUUGUAAACCUGUGCAUUCUUUUCAAGUUCUUGUUAUCUACGUGUAGAUUAUACUAGAUCCUGAAUUCUCCUAAUGUAUUUCUCCUAAUAUGGCAACAACUCUCCAACUAAAAGCAAAAGCUGCUCUGUUACUAAAGCCCUAUGAGCUGAAACUAGAUAAAUUUUAAAGAAUAAACAUGUGCCUGGUGUAUGGAUCUCAGAAAGAGUUCACCAAACCAACUGAUGUCAUGACCAAAGACAUUCAAACUACAAAGCAGGAGAAGUUAAUGUUUUGUUUUCAUGCCGAUUUUCCCAGGUCAUUAGAACAGAUUUUCCCAGGUCAUUAGAACAAGACUCCAUGUGAUGAGAUUUUUGACCCUCCUCCUCCUUAAUGCUACAUUUUUCACUUUGCAGAAUAAUGAUGUGAAUGAAAAUUCACAAUCAAUAGCUUCUGCUCAUAAGUAUCCUUUGGUUAAAUGAGAAAAUGACUGUGUUAUUGUCAAUACUAUAUGCUGUACCUGGAUAAAUUUCUCCAGGAAAUUAGAAAUUUAUAGGCCACGUGGUUACACCAUUUCACCUGAUUCCCUAUGAUUAUUUGAUUUAUUCAAUUAGUUGUCUGUAAGCUUAGGUUAAUGGCUCAAAGCCAUUAUGCAAACUAGAAUUGUUCUAUUACUAUUUACUUCAUAAUUUCCCUUUUUAAACUGUGUAUCCAUUACUUAAGUUUUUUUUUCAAAAGUACAACUCCUAAUAGAAUAAUGCCGGUACAGCACUUUGAGAUGAUAGCAAAAGACUACAGAACAGACAAAAUUGAACUUAAUAAUGAACUCCAGGUAGACUUAGCCUGAAAACUACUCCCUUCAAAUCUCCCUUGUUGCUCCAAAUGUGCCUAAAAGGAUUUUGACACUGACUCUUAGGUGCCAAUUACCCCCUGCCUCAAUGUGGGAUGAGACCAAAAACCAAAAUAGGUCUAUCCUAGCACCAAGGGCCAUCAAAACCAAACUAAAAGAUGAUUGAUCAGUGAUGCUUUUGGAAAAAGAUCUGGAGCACAGAUGGGAAAUGUGAAAGUUGUCUGCAUCAAAAUGGAGUCACUAGUAAUAAGAAAACUCUGACAACUCGAGCUGGGGAAGGACAUGAAGAGAGCAUUCUCAUGUGUGCAUGUCUGAUGAUGAAAAUGAUUCUACAAAAAUUACAACCUUGCACAAAGUCCAUGACAACGUUAUAC
RNAcentral lists this small RNA (2328 nucleotides) under Pongo abelii (Sumatran orangutan). RNAcentral's name for it is "processed transcript". Lineage: Eukaryota; Metazoa; Chordata; Mammalia; Primates; Hominidae. The record is from RNAcentral.